AUGAGUCGUCCUGAUGGCAUCAAUAUCCCCAAUGGAAAGUUGUACCUAAGAGGUGAUGGCUAUGCAUAUCGUCCAGGUGUUCUUCCAGCCUUCAAGAAAACCAGGUACCAUCUAAACGAGUUCACUGGUAGGAACUAUCCCCAGACUCCACAUGAACUAUUUAAUCUCAGACACUCCAGCCUAAGAGUUGCAGUUGAGAGGACAUUUGGAGAUGUAAAGAACUUGUUUAAGAUCCUGAAUCAGAAGCCAUUCCAUAGUUUUCCCAUCCAUGUUAAGCUUGUUCUUACUUGUUGCAUUCUGCAUAACUGGAUCUUGCAAUGGGGUUGUGAUGAACUGGUGACGAAGGAGGAAGAUGUGACGCCUAACGAUGUUGUCAGUUUCAGUCAUGGUGUGGACACAUUUGACAACAAAACCUGAAAGAACAAAAGGCUGUAG
RNAcentral lists this ribosomal RNA (435 nucleotides) under Triticum aestivum (bread wheat). Its description in RNAcentral is "partial small subunit ribosomal RNA". The record is from RNAcentral. Lineage: Eukaryota; Viridiplantae; Streptophyta; Magnoliopsida; Poales; Poaceae.